RNAcentral lists this transfer RNA (65 nucleotides) under Psylliodes sp. BMNH 846644. RNAcentral describes it as "tRNA-Asp". Lineage: Eukaryota; Metazoa; Arthropoda; Insecta; Coleoptera; Chrysomelidae. The record is from RNAcentral.
AAAAAUUUAGUUAAAAGAAUAACGUUAGUUUGUCAAACUAAAAUUAUUAAAUAUAAUAAUUUUUA